RNAcentral lists this unclassified non-coding RNA (188 nucleotides) under uncultured Sebacina. RNAcentral's name for it is "sequence contains ITS2". Lineage: Eukaryota; Fungi; Basidiomycota; Agaricomycetes; Sebacinales; Sebacinaceae. The record is from RNAcentral.
UACUCUCACACUCUCUAAUUAGUUAGAGAGCAGUGGAUAUGGAUGCUGCCUGGUACUUACUGUUAGGCUCAUCUUAAAUGAAUUAGUGCGACUCUUAGUUAAACAUAGUGGCAUGAUAAGUAACCCUUGCUGUUUUCUGUCUGAUUAGGAGCUCUGUGCUUCAAACUUUCUCAGGACAAUAUUUGAUA